RNAcentral lists this ribosomal RNA (491 nucleotides) under uncultured bacterium. RNAcentral's name for it is "partial 16S ribosomal RNA". It matches the Rfam family "Bacterial small subunit ribosomal RNA", at positions 28 to 507 of the family's 1533-position model. The record is from RNAcentral.
GAUGAACGCUGGCUACAGGCUUAACACAUGCAAGUCGAGGGGAAACGCCGGGGAAGCUUGCUUCCCCGGGCGUCGACCGGCGCACGGGUGAGUAACGCGUAUCCAACCUGCCUCUGACUGAGGGAUAACCCGUCGAAAGUCGGCCUACUACCUCAUGGCAUCGUCUGCGGGCAUCCAACGACGAUUAAAGAUUUCAUCGGUCAGGGAUGGGGAUGCGUCUGAUUAGCUUGUUGGCGGGGUAACGGCCCACCAAGGCUACGAUCAGUAGGGGUUCUGAGAGGAAGCCACCCCAGAUCUGAGCUGAGGCACAGUCCAAAACGGGACGCGAGGCAGGAGUGAGUACUACUAGUCAAUGAGGGGGAGCGUGAACAAGCCAAGUAGGGUACAAGAGGACGGGCAUAUGAGUUGUAAACUGCUUGGAUGCGGGGAUAAAGUGAGGGACGUGUCCUGCAUUGAAGGUACCGAAUGAAUAAGGACCGGCUAAUUCCGUG